Molecule: long non-coding RNA, 426 nt
Filed under: Coffea arabica (coffee)
Lineage: Eukaryota; Viridiplantae; Streptophyta; Magnoliopsida; Gentianales; Rubiaceae
Description: long non-coding RNA (CARA_LNC003594)
Source: RNAcentral
CGGCACCGGUACCUCCGGCUUCAUCACCUUCACCUUCACCUCCACCUGCACCGGCUGUAUCACCCAUAUCUCCACCUUCAACAGCUCCUACACCUGCAGGUUCACCAAGCCUGUCACCGCCUUCUUCGGCUCCUACACCUGCAGGUUCACCAAACCUGUCACCGCCUUCUUCGGCUCCUACACCUGCAGGUUCACCAAGCCUGUCACCGCCUUCUUCGGCUCCUACACCUGCAGGUUCACCUAGCUUGUCACCGCCUUCUUCGGCUCCUACACCUGCAGGUUCACCUAGCUUGUCACCGCCUUCUUCGGCUCCUACACCUGCAGCAGCAGGCUCACCUAGCUCGUCAUCACCUUCUUCAGCGCCCACAUCAUCGCCACCUUCAACCACUGCACCGGGAUCGCCGGGACCGGCCGGUGCGAACUCAC